Molecule: ribosomal RNA, 395 nt
Filed under: uncultured bacterium
Lineage: Bacteria
Description: partial 16S ribosomal RNA
Rfam family: Bacterial small subunit ribosomal RNA
Source: RNAcentral
AUACGUAGGGUGCAAGCGUUAAUCGGAAUUACUGGGCGUAAAGCGUGCGCAGGCGGUUUUGUAAGACAGAGGUGAAAUCCCCGGGCUCAACCUGGGGACUGCCUUUGUGACUGCAAAGCUAGAGUACGGCAGCGGGGGGUGGAAUUCCGCGUGUAGCAGUGAAAUGCGUAGAUAUGCGGAGGAACACCGAUGGCGAAGGCAAUCCCCUGGGCCUGUACUGACGCUCAUGCACGAAAGCGUGGGGAGCAAACAGGAUUAGAUACCCUGGUAGUCCACGCCCUAAACGAUGUCAACUGGUUGUUGGGUCUUCAUUGACUCAGUAACGAAGCUAACGCGUGAAGUUGACCGCCUGGGGAGUACGGCCGCAAGGUUGAAACUUAAAGGAAUUGACGGAG